UGCUGUUUGCUUUCUGUGCUUGAGUUGGUUAUAUAUUGUAACCAACUCCCUGUUUCGAAUAUGAUUUUACACAAUAUUCAGUUCUACUCUCUCUAUCUUUCUCUUGUGUUUUUCUUCUUCUGGGUUUCUAGCUUCCUCUUCGAACCCAACAACCCUAAUAAAGUAAUAAGUAACGUGAUAAGUUGUAACUUAUCUUCCUUCGUAUCUUUUGUUUUUUAUGUUUUAAAAGACUAUGUGUUUUAGUGCAUAUUUGAUAUGGUGAGAAACAAAAAUCAUAACAAACUCCCUCUAACGAAAAUCAAACCUAUAAUGAUCCUGUAUUGACAUUGAUCAUGACCUGGCCAUCGUCCAUCAUGAUCCUACUAAGAUGCUUAUGACAUGAGCAAGACGUCUUCUUAUUCAUGGGUUGGGUUGAGAGAGCUCAACAAUCUCACUCUGUCUCCACCUCACCAUGGUUCCUGCUAAGUCUCUCGUUUUUUAAUUUAUUUAUCUCUUCCUCGUGACUCACUCUCAUUGUAUUGCGUUUUCAAAACCAGUGUUUGUGUGCGUUGAAGCUCCAUUAUUGAAAGGUUUGAUCUUAUGACUUGGUAUCUUUGUUUCUUAUGCCUCGCAAUUUGGCUAUGACUGUGUACCUUCCAAUUUGGCUCGUUUUUGAACAAAUGGGUUUGCCUGCUAGUGGUUGCCACGAAAGCUUUUAAUGGUGACAGUUUUUGUUUCAAAUUCUUUCUGUAAAUUUGUUAUUUACUUAUUAUUAAUCAUAUUAUUGGAAUUUUUUAAAGAAAAGAAACACAGAAUUUGCUUAACAGAGAGCAAGAUAUAUUAACAAUUUUCUUAACAUAGAACAAUAUAUAUU
RNAcentral lists this long non-coding RNA (853 nucleotides) under Vigna radiata. RNAcentral describes it as "long non-coding RNA (VRAD_LNC012448)". Lineage: Eukaryota; Viridiplantae; Streptophyta; Magnoliopsida; Fabales; Fabaceae. The record is from RNAcentral.